Molecule: ribosomal RNA, 472 nt
Filed under: uncultured bacterium
Lineage: Bacteria
Description: bacterial SSU rRNA
Rfam family: Bacterial small subunit ribosomal RNA
Source: RNAcentral
UAGUCCACGCCCUAAACGAUGCACACUAGUUGUUGCAAUGCUAGUCAUUGCAGUAAUGCAGUUAACACAUUAAGUGUGCCGCCUGGGGAGUACGGUCGCAAGAUUAAAACUCAAAGGAAUAGACGGGGACCCGCACAAGCGGUGGAGCAUGUGGUUUAAUUCGAAGAUACGCGAAGAACCUUACCUGGACUUGAAAUCCUUGGAAUACUGUAGAGAUACGGUAGUGCUAGUUUACUAGAGCCAAGUGACAGGUGCUGCACGGCUGUCGUCAGCUCGUGUCGUGAGAUGUUGGGUUAAGUCCCGCAACGAGCGCAACCCUCGUUCUUAGUUGCUAACAGUUCGGCUAAGCACUCUAAGAAGACUGCCCGGGNAACCGGGAGGAAGGUGAGGACGACGUCAAGUCAUCAUGGGGCCCUUAUGUCCAGGGGCUACACACGUGCUACAAUGGGUUAGGACAAAGAGCAGCGAUACC